AGGGGAGGAGGCAGCCUCAAACCCUCAAGGUUUGGCCGAAAUUGGAGGUGGAGGAGUCCUACUCCAAUCCUACUUGGAGUAGGAUUCCACCUUCCCACUUGGAAACUCUUUCCACCUUGUGUUUUUUCCUUCUCAAACCUUAUGGGCCUUAGUGGGAACUUAUUCCAGCCCACUAGGGGCUGGUUUAUCUCUUACCAUAGCCCAUGAGACCCCUUGGGGCGUGACACCCCUCUCGAUGGUCACCGGCACCCCUCCCGGCACUCCUAGUACACUACCGAUGAGCUCGGAACUUUUCCGGUGACCAAAACAGGACUUCCUAUAUAUCAAUCUUUACCUCCAAACAAUUCCGGAGGUCCUCGUGAUGUCAUGGAUCUCAUCUGGGACUCCGAAAAAUUUCGGUUACCAACACCUAUAACUCAACUAUACCGAAACAUCGUCGAACCUUAAGUGUGCAGACCCUGCGGGUUCGAGAACUAUGUAGACAUGCCCCGAGGUACUCCUCGGUCAAUAUCCAACAACGGGACCUGGAUGCCCAUAUUGGAUCCUACAUAUUCUCCGAAGAUCUUAUCGGUUGAACCUCAGUGUCAAGGAUUCAUGUAAUCCCGUAUGUCAUUCCCUUUGUCCUUCGGUAUGUUACUUGCCCGAGAUUUGAUCGUCGGUAUCCGCAUACCUAUUUCAAUCUCGUUACCGGCAAGUCUCUUUACUCAUUCUGUAAUACAAGAUCAUGUGAAUUACACUUAGUAACAUUGCUUGCAAGGCUUGUGUGUGAUGUUGUAUUACCGAGUGGGCCCCGAGAUACCUCUCCGUCACAUGGAGUGAAAAAUCCCAGUCUUGAUCCAUACUAACUCAACGGACACCUUCGGAGAUACCUGUAAAGCACCUUUAUAGUCACCCAGUUACGUUGUGACGUUUGAUACACACAAGGCAUUCCUCCGGUGUUAGUGAGUCAUAUGAUCUCAUGGUCAUAGGAAUAAAUAGUUGACACGCAGAAAAACAGUAGCAACAAAAUGACACGAUCAACAUGCUACGUUCAUUAGUUUGGGUCUAGUCCAUCACAUGAUUGUCCUAAUGAUGUGAUCCCGUUAUCAAGUGACAACACUUGCCUAUGGUCAGGAAACCUUGACCAUCUUUGAUCAACGAGCUAGUCAACUAGAGGCUUACUAGGGACAGUGUUUUGUCUAUGUAUCCACACAAGUAUUGUGUUUCCAAUCAAUACAAUUAUAGCAUGGAUAAUAAACGAUUAUCAUGAACAAAGAAAUAUAAUAAUAACUAAUUUAUUAUUGCCUCUAGGGCAUAUUUCCAACAGUCUCCCACUUGCACUAGAGUGAAUAAUCUAGUUCACAUCACCAUGUGAUUUCAACGAAUCCAACACCCAUAUAGUUCUGGGGUCUGAUAAUGUCUUGCUUGUGAGAGAGGUUUUAGUCAACGGUUCUGAAACUUUCAGAUCCGUGUGUUCUUUACAAAUAUUUAUGUCAUCUUUAUAGAUGCUGCUACUACGUGCUAUUCGGAAAUACUCCAAAUAUCUACUCUACUAUACAAAUCCGUUUCACUACUCAUAGUUAUUCGGAUUAGUGUCAAAGCUUGCAUCGACGUAACUCUUUACGACAAACUCUUUAACCACCUCCAUAAUCGAGAAAAAAAUCCUUAGUACAUUUAGUUACCAAGGAUAAUUUUGAACGCUGCUAGUGAUUCAAUCAUGGAUCACUCUUUGUACCUCUCAACAGACUUUGAGGCAAGGCACACAUCAGGUGCGGUACUCAGCAUGGCAUACUUCAGAUUCUACGGCCAAGGCAUAGAAGACGACCUUCAUCUAUUCUCUUUGUUCUGUCGUGGUCGUGUUUUGAGUCUUACUCAAAUUCACACCUUACAACACAACCAAGAACUCCUUCUUUGCUGAUCUAUUUUGAACUCCUUCAAAAACUUGUCAAGGCAUGCAUCUUGUUGAAACUUCUAUUAAGCGUUUCGAUUUAUCUCCAUAGAUCUUGAUGCUCAACGUUCAAGUAGCGCAUUCCAGGUAUUCCUUUGAAAAACUCCUUUCAAACAACCUUUUAUGCUUUACAGAAAUUCUACAUUACUUCUGAACCACAAUAUGUCAACCACAUAUACUUAUCAGAAUUUCUAUAGUGCUCCCACUCACUUCUUUGGAAAUACAAGUUUCUCAUAAACCUUGUACAAACCCAAAAUCUUUGAUCAUCUCAUCAAAGUGUAUAUUCCAACUCCGAGAUGCUUGCACCAGUCCAUUGAAGGAUCGCUGGAGCUUGCAUACUUGUUAGUAUCUUUAGGAUCGACAAAACCUUCUCGUUGUAUCACAUACAAUCUUUCCUCAAGGAAACCGUCAAGGAAACAAUGUUUUGACCUCCUAUGUGCAAUAUUUCAAAAAUAAUGUAGCAACUACUAACAUAAUUCUAAUAGACUUUUAGCAUCGCUACGAGUGAGAAAGUCACAUCAUAGUCAACUCUUUGAUCUUGUCGAAAACAUCUUUGCGACAAGUCGAGCCUUUCUUAAUAGUGACUUAUCACCAUCAUCGUCUGUCUUCCUUUUAAAGAUCCAUCUUUACUUAAUAGUCUUACUACCAUCAAGUAGUUCUUCCAAAGUCUACACUUUGUUUUCAUACAUGGAUCCUCUCUCGAAUUUCAUGGCCUCCAGCCAUUUGUCAGAAUCCGGGCCCACCAUCGCUUCUCCAUAGCUCGUAGGUUCAUUGUUGUUCAACAACAUGACCUCCAAGACAGGGUUACCGUACCACUCUGCAGUAGUAUUCGACCUUGUCGACCUACGAGGUUUGUAGUAACUUGAUCCGAAGCUCAAUGAUCACCAUUAUUAGUUUCUACUUCAAUUGGUGUAGGUGCCACAGGAACAUUUUUCUGCACCCUGCUACACACUGGUUGAAGUGACGGUUCACUAAGCUCAUCAAGUUCCACCACCCUCCCACUCAAUUCUUUCGAUAGAAACAUUUCCUAGAGAAAGGACCCGUUUCGAGAAACAAAUACUUUGCUUCCGGAUCUGAGAUAGGAGAUGUAUCCAACUGUUUUGGAUAUCCUAUGAAGAUGCAUUUAUCCGCUUUGGGUUCGAGCUUAUCACACUGAAACUUUUUCACAUAAGCGUCGCAGCCCCAAACUUUUAAGAAACGACAAGUCAGGUUUCUCCAAACCAUAAUAUAUACAGUGUCAUCUCAACGGAAAUACGCGGUGCCCUAUUUAAAGUGAAUGCGGUUGUCUCUAAAGCAUAACCCAUAAACGAUAGUGGUAAUUCGAUAAGAGACAUCAUAGUAUGUACCAUAUCAAAAUAGGGCGUAGCUAUGACGUUCGGACACACCAUCACACUAUGGUGUUCUAGGUGGCAUGAAUUGCAAAACGAUUUUUAUUUUGUCCUAACUGUGUACCAAAAACUCGUAACUCAGAUAUUCAUCUCUAUGAUCAUAUCGUAGACAGUUUAUCCUCUUGUCACGACGAUCUUCUCACUGAAAUUACUUUGAAAUUUUCAAUAUUUCAGACUUGUGAUUCAUCAAGUAAAUACUCGUGUAUCUACUCAAAUCGUCGGUGAAGUAAGAACAUAACGAUAUCCACUGCGUGCCUUAGCACUCAUUGGACUGCACACAUAAAAAAUGCAUUACUCUCAACAAGUUACUCUCUUGUUUCAUGUGGCAUGUUUUGUAUGUCUCAAGUGAUUCAAAAUCAAGUGAGUCCGAAUGAUCCAUCUCUAUGGAGCUUCUUCAUUCAUUUUAUACCAACAUGACUCAAGUGGCAGUGCCACAACUAAGUGGUACUAUCAUUAUUACUUCGUAUCUUUUGGCACCAAUAUUAUGAACAUGUGUAACACUACGAUCGAGAUUCAAUAAACCAUUGAGGGUAAUUAUUCAAGAAAAUAGAAUAACUAUUAUUCUCUUUAAAUGAAUAAUCGUAUUUCAAUAAACACGAUCCAAUCAUGUUCAUGCUCAACGCAAACACCAAAUAACAAUUAUUUAGGUUUUACCACCAAUCCCGAUGAUAGAGGGAGCGUGCGAUGUUUGAUCACAUCAACCUUGGAAACACUUCCAACACGUAUCGUCACCUCACCUUUAGCUAGUCUCCGUUUAUACCUUAGAUUUCAUUUUGAGCUAAUCACUUAGCAACCGAACCGGUAUCCAAUACCCUCGUGCUACUAGGAGUACUAGUAAAGUACACAUUAAUAUCAUGUAUAUCAAAUAUACUUUUGUCGACUUUGCCAGCCUUCUUAUCUACCAAGUAUCUAGGGUAGCUCCGCCUCAGUGACCGUUCCCCUCAUAACAGAAGCACUUAGUCUCGGGUUUGGGUUCAAUUUUGGGUUUCUUCAUUAGAGCAGCAACUGGUUUGCCGUUUCAUGAAGUAUCCCUUCCAGCCCUUGCCCUUCUCAAAACUAGUGGUUUUACUAACCAUCAACAAUUGAUGCUCCUUCUUGAUUUCUACUUUCGCAGUGUGAAACAUUGCGAAUCACUCAAGGAUCAUCAUAUCUAUCCUUGAUUUGUUUAUAGUUCAUCACUAAGAUCUAGCAGCUUAGUGGCAGUGACUUUGGAGAACCAUCACUAUCUCAUCUGGAAGAUUAACUCCCACUUGAUUCAAGCAAUUGUUGUACUCAGACAAUCUGAGAAGAUGCUCAACGAUUUGAGCUUUUCUCCUUUACUUUGUAGGCAAAGAAUCUUAUCGGAGGUCUUAUACCUCUCAACAAGGGCACGAGGAUGAAACCUCAAUUUCAUCUCUUAGAACAUCUCUUAUGUUCAGCGAUGUCUCAAAACGUCUUUGGCGCCUUGCUUCUAAGCUUUUAAGUAUUGCGUACUGAACUAUCACGUAGUCAUCAAAUACGUGUAUGUUAGAUGUUCGCAACAUCCACAGACGACGCUCGAGGUGCAGCACACCGAGUGGUGCAUUAAGGACAUAAGCCUUCUGCACAGUAAUGAGGACAAUCCUCAGUUUUACGGACUCGGUCCGCAAAGUUGCUACUAUCAACUUUCAACUAAAUUUUCUCUAGGAACAUAUAAAAACAGUAGAGCUAUAGCGCAAGCUACAUCGUAAUUCGCAAGGACCAUUAGACUAUGUUCAUGAUAAUUAGUUCAAUUAAUCAUAUUACUUAAGAACUCCCACUCAAAAAGUACAUCUCUCUAGUCAUUUGAGUGGUACAUGAUCCAAAUCCACUAUCUCAAGUGCGAUCAUCACGUGAGUCGAGAAUAGUUUCAGUGGUAAGCAUCUGUAUGCUAAUCAUAUCAACUGUACGAUUCAUGCUCGACCUUUCGGUCUUUUGUGUUCCGAGGCCAUGUCUGCACAUGCUAGGGUCGUCAAGUUUAAACCGAGUGUUCCGCGUGUGCAACUGUUUUGCACCCGUUGUAUGUGAACGUUGAGACUAUCACACCCGAUCAUCACGUGGUGUCUCGAAAUGACGAAGUGUCGCAAUGGUGCACAGUCGGGGAGAACACAAUUUCAUCUUGAAGUUUUAGUUAGAGAUCACCUCAUAAUNNNNNNNNNNNNNNNNNNNNNNNNNNNNNNNNNNNNNNNNNNNNNNNNNNNNNNNNNNNNNNNNNNNNNNNNNNNNNNNNNNNNNNNNNNNNNNNNNNNNNNNNNNNNNNNNNNNNNNNNNNNNNNNNNNNNNNNNNNNNNNNNNNNNNNAUGCUACCGUCGUUCUAAGCAAAAUAAGGUGCAUAAAAGGAUUAACAUCACAUGCAAUUCAUAAGUGACAUGAUAUGGCCAUCAUCAUGUGCUUCUUCAUCUCCAUCACCAAAGCACCAGCACGAUCUUCUUGUCACCGGCGCCACACCAUGAUCUCCAUCAACGUGUCGCCAUCGGGGUUGUCGUGCUACUCAUGCUAUUACUACUAAAGCUAUGUCCUAGAAAUAUAGUAAACGCAUCUGCAAGCACAAACGUUAGUUUAAAGACAACCCUAUGGCUCCUGCCGGUUGCCGUACCAUCGACGUGCAAGUCGAUAUUAACUAAUACAACAUGAUCAUCUCAUACAUCCAAUAUAUCACAUCACAUCAUUGGCCAUAUCAAACCACAAGCAUACCGUGCAAAAACAAGUUAGACGUCCUCUAAUUGUUGUUGCAUGUUUUACUUGGUUGCUAUGGGUAUCUAGUAGAUCGCAUCUUACUUACGCAAAAACCACAACGGAGAUGUGAAAAUUGCUAUUUAACCUCUCCAAGGACCGCCUCAGUCAAUACCAAUUCAACUAAAGUUGAAGAAACAGACACCCGCCAGUCAUCUUUAUGCAACGAGGUUGCAUGUUAAGCGAAGAAACCAGUCUUUCGUAAGCGUACGAAUAAUGUCGGUCCGGGCCGCUUCAAUCCAACAAUACCAUCGAAUUGAGAAAAGACUAAGGAGGGCAGCUAAUCGAACAUCACCGUACACAAAACCCUUUGUGUUCUACUCGAUAUAACAUCUACGCAUGAACCUAGCUCAUGAUGCCACUUUUGGGGAACGUCGCAUGGGAAACAAAAAAUUUCCUGCGCGCACGAAGACCUAUCAUGGUGAUGUCCAUCUAUGAGAGAGGAUUUCCGAUCUACGUACCCUUGUAGAUUGCAUCGCAGGAAGUGUUAAGAAACGCGGUUGAUGUAGUGGAACGUCUUCAUGUCCCUCGAACCGCCCCACGAACCGCCCCACGAACCGUCCCGCGAUCCGUCCCAUGAUCCGCUCCGAUCUAGUGCCGAACGGACGGCACCUCCGCGUUCAACACACGUACAACUGGACGAUGAUCUCGGCCUUCUUGAUACAGCAAGAGAGACGGAGAGGUAGAUGAGUUCUCCGGCAGCGUGAUGGCGCUCCGGAGGUUGGUGGUGAUCUUAUCUCAGCAGGGCUCCGCCCGAGCUCCGCAGAAACGCGAUCUAGAGGAAAGACCGUGGAGGUUUGUGGUGGGGCUGCCGUGGCAAAGUUGUGUCUAAAAACGCUCAAUACCUCUAGUAUAUAUAGGAGGGAGGGAGGGGAGGAGGCAGCCUCAAACCCUUAAGGUUUGGCCGAAAUUGGAGGUGGAGGAGUCCUAUUCCAAUCCUACUUGGUGUAGGAUUCCACCUUCCCACUUGGAAACUCUUUCCACAUUCUGUUUUUUCCUUCUCAAACCUUAUGGGCCUUAGUGGGAACGUAUUCCAGCCCACUAGGGGCUGGUUUAUCUCUUCCCAUAGCCCAUGAGACCCCUUGGGGCGUGACACCCCUCCCGAUGGUCCCCGGCACCCCUCCCGGCACUCCCGGUACACUACAGAUGAGCCCGAAACUUUUCCGGUGACCAAAACAGGGCUUCCUAUAUAUCAAUCUUUACCUCCAGACCAUUCCGGAGCUCCUC
RNAcentral lists this long non-coding RNA (7272 nucleotides) under Hordeum vulgare. RNAcentral describes it as "long non-coding RNA (HVUL_LNC018298)". Lineage: Eukaryota; Viridiplantae; Streptophyta; Magnoliopsida; Poales; Poaceae. The record is from RNAcentral.